RNAcentral lists this ribosomal RNA (253 nucleotides) under uncultured bacterium. RNAcentral describes it as "partial 16S ribosomal RNA". It matches the Rfam family "Bacterial small subunit ribosomal RNA", at positions 524 to 776 of the family's 1533-position model. The record is from RNAcentral.
UACGUAGGGGGCGAGCGUUAUCCGGAUUCACUGGGUGUAAAGGGAGCGUAGACGGCCAUGCAAGCCAGGGGUGAAAGCCCGGGGCCCAACCCUGGGACUGCCCUUGGAACUGCAUGGCUGGAGUGCGGGAGGGGCAGGCGGAAUUCCUGGUGUAGCGGUGAAAUGCGUAGAUAUCAGGAGGAACACCGGCGGCGAAGGCGGCCUGCUGGACCGCGACUGACGUUGAGGCUCGAAAGCGUGGGGAGCGAACAGG